RNAcentral lists this long non-coding RNA (2546 nucleotides) under Piliocolobus tephrosceles (Ugandan red Colobus). Its description in RNAcentral is "lncRNA (ENSPTEG00000006325.1)". Lineage: Eukaryota; Metazoa; Chordata; Mammalia; Primates; Cercopithecidae. The record is from RNAcentral.
UAAUGUGGCUUUUUUAAAAAAAAAAAUAAAACAAAGUAGAUAUAAUGAUACAAACAGCAAUGACAAUAGUACUAGUAGUACUAAUACUUAUGUAUAUAGUGAACUACAAGAUAAUAUACAUAACAAUAAUUCUUCUAAUGUGACUUUUUUUAAAGGAAAUUAUACACUUUACUUGCACAAUAUGAAAAUAUUAUUUGAAAAUAAAAAAAAAAAAAAAGAACAACUAUUUAAAAUAAUAGAUCAAUUAAAUAAUAAUUUAAAAAAACUAAAAAAUAAAAAGAAAGAAUCAUUUAUACAACAAUCUUUAAAAAAAAAAGAAGAAGAAUUACAACUAUAUCAAAAUAUAUACUCUAAUUUUUUUGAUAACAAAUUGGAUUAUUCUUAUUUGUAUUAUAAUUUAAUAUUAAAUAAAAAAAGUGGUAAAAACUAUGACCUUCGUGAUUCAUCAAAAGGUUUGGAAGGAGUUAAUGAUAAUAGUAAAAAAGUAGAAAAAGUAGAAAAGGCACAACAGGAACUUGUUGAUACGAAAAAGAAAAACAUAAAAACAUCAACUACGGUGGAGGAUUGUAAUUUACAGCAGGAAAAUAUAGAACUAGAAAGUAGUAUGGUUAAUGUCGAUUUCAUUGAUGGGAGCGACAACCAUAAUAUGAAACUUAAUGUGGACGAUAUGAAAACGUUCGUAUAUAAAAAUUUGAACGACAUUGACAAAGAUAUGAACAAAAACAUUUUAAUAGAUAUAAGUAAAAAAAUAAAAAACAACGAGUUAAUAAAAGUGGGUGAAAAAUAUACUGAAAAUAAUAUACCACUAUACGAAUUUGUAGAUUUUUCUUUUUAUUUUUUAAAUAAAAAAAAAAAAAAAAAAACAUAUAUUUUUAAAAAUUUAAAUUUGAAUAUAAAUAGUAAUGAAAAUAUUUUAUUGUUGGGAAAAAACGGAAUAGGUAAAUCAACUCUUUUUAAAAUUUUGACUAAUAAAUAUAAUUUUAUAAUGAACGAAAAAAAUAAGUUAAUGAGAAGUAAAUCCACUUGGAAUGAAUGGGAUAAAAUUAAUAGUAAUAAAAAGAUGUAUGUGGAUGGAGAUAUUAUAGAUUAUACAUAUGACAACAGUAGUGUUAGUUGUAACAAAAAAACAAAAAAAAAAAUAAAAUUCACAAAUGAUAGUGAAAAAAUAACCAAUUUUGAAGGAAACAUACAUUGUAAUUAUAAUAACAUAUUACUAACAUAUUUUGAACAAAAUAUGAUAAAAAAGUUAAACGUAGACAUAAAUGAUUUUUUUAAAUAUAUAAUAAAAAAAGCAAAUUACCGUAACGUGAGUUUUUAUGGUGAUGGUGAUGGUGAUGGUGAUGGUGAUGAUGAUGAUGAUGAUGAUGAUGAUGAUGAUGAUGAUGAUGAUGGUGAUGGUGAUGAUGGUGAUGAUGAUGAGUAUGGUAAUGGUGACAACACAAAAAUGGACAAGAACCAAUUUUAUAAUAAUUGCUUUUUUUACAUUUUAAACAAAACUAAACCCUUAUGCAAUGAUUAUAAUUAUAAUGAUAAUACAAAUAGCGAAUUAAAUAUAGAGCAUAAAAUAAAAUCAUUAUUAAAAAUUUUUUUUAUUGAUAGUUCAACACCUAUUUUAGAAAAAAGUGAUGGAGAAAAAAUCAGAAUUUUAUUUCUUUCUUUAUUUUUAAAACAAUCUAAUUUGUUAUUAUUAGAUGAAAUAAAUAAUAAUUUAGAUAUCUAUUUAAAAAACCUUUUAAUUAAUUUUUUAAAUAAUAUAUAUGAAGGUACAUAUAUAUUAACAACUCAUGAUUUUUAUAUUAUUAAAAAUUUAAACAAUAUUCAUAAAAUUAUAUAUAUAUUUGAUUAUAACAAUGUAUUCACAUUUUAUAACGUAAAAGAUUUUAUUGAAAAUUUUUACAAUCAAAUUUUAAACUCUGUUAGCACUUUUAAAAAUAAAGAUUUUAUUAUUAAUAAUCAUAAAUUUGAUAAGCAAAACGAAUUAGAAACAAAAAGUAAUGCUAACUUACAAAAUAAAUAUGUAAAUAUAAAUGAAAAAAAUAAUAACUUGGACUUCCAAAAUAACCAUGUUACUUUAGAUAAUAACGAAUUGUUACAAGCAACUACUUCCGAUAAAAAUUUAGAAAAAUACACACCUUGCCAACCACUAACCAAUGGAAAACAACAAAACACAAACUUAGAAAUAAAUAAUGAAAAUUAUGGUAAAUAUAUUUAUGACAAUUUUGACUACGAUAUAUUACAAUUUUUAAAAAAGCAGUCUGAAAAAGACAAAAAUGAACAACAAAAUUAUGAGCAAGUACAAGAUGAUACAACUCUAGAGUUAGAACUAUUUAAAAAAAAAAAUGCUAAUAAAAAAAAUUUUGGUGGAAAAGGUUCAUCUGGUAAAAUUAAAAUAAAAAACUGGAAAAGAUGGAAAAAAUAGUGCUGUACUGUACUGUACUGUACUGUACGCACAUAUGUGUAAUUUAACCUAUUUGCCUUAUUUUUAUUAAACAUUUUACCAAUUAUGUAUAUAUAAUAAAAAAAAAAAAAAAAAAAAAAAAAAUACA